This 520-nucleotide unclassified non-coding RNA is filed under the name uncultured Glomus. Its description in RNAcentral is "SSU rRNA". It matches the Rfam family "Eukaryotic small subunit ribosomal RNA", at positions 569 to 1089 of the family's 1831-position model. Lineage: Eukaryota; Fungi; Glomeromycota; Glomeromycetes; Glomerales; Glomeraceae. The record is from RNAcentral.
AGCAGCCGCGGUAAUUCCAGCUCCAAUAGCGUAUAUUAAAGUUGCUGCAGUUAAAAAGCUCGUAGUUGAAUUUCGGGACUAAUAUGUCGGUCGUGCCUCGGUACGUACUGGCUUAUUGGUUUCUCCUUUCUGAAGAACCAUGAUGUCAUUUAUUUGGUGUCGUGGGGAAUCAGGACUGUUACUUUGAAAAAAUUAGAGUGUUUAAAGCAGGCUCACGCUUGAAUACAUUAGCAUGGAAUAAUGAAAUAGGACGUUUGAUUCUAUUUUGUUGGUUUCUAGGAUCGACGUAAUGAUUAAUAGGGAUAGUUGGGGGCAUUAGUAUUCAAUUGUCAGAGGUGAAAUUCUUGGAUUUAUUGAAGACUAACUACUGCGAAAGCAUUUGCCAAGGAUGUUUUCAUUAAUCAAGAACGAAAGUUAGGGGAUCGAAGACGAUCAGAUACCGUCGUAGUCUUAACCAUAAACUAUGCCGACUAGGGAUCGGAUGAUGUUAAUUUUUUUUUAAUGACUCAUUCGGCGCCUU